This 406-nucleotide ribosomal RNA is filed under the name uncultured bacterium. RNAcentral describes it as "partial 16S ribosomal RNA". It matches the Rfam family "Bacterial small subunit ribosomal RNA", at positions 30 to 526 of the family's 1533-position model. The record is from RNAcentral.
AUUGAACGCUGGCGGCAGGCCUAACACAUGCAAGUCGAACGAGUGGCGGACGGGUGAGUAAUGUCUGGGUAACUGCCCGAUGGAGGGGGAUAACUACUGGAAACGGUAGCUAAUACCGCAUACCAUCGGAUGUGCCCAGAUGGGAGUAGCUAGUAGGUGGGGUAACGGCUCACCUAGGCGACGAAUCCUAGCUGGUCUGAGAGGAUGACCAGCAACACUGGAACGGAGACACGGGCCAGACUCCUACGGGAGGCAGCAGUGGGGAAGAUUGCACAAUGGGCGCAAGCCUGAUGCAGCCAUGCCGCGUGUAUGAAGAAGGCCUUCGGGUUGUAAAGUACUUUCAGCGAGGAGGCGUUACUCGCAGAAGAAGGACCGGCUAACUCCGUGCCAGCCGCCGCGGUAAUUC